Molecule: transfer RNA, 71 nt
Filed under: Loxodonta africana (African savanna elephant)
Lineage: Eukaryota; Metazoa; Chordata; Mammalia; Proboscidea; Elephantidae
Rfam family: tRNA
About the family: Transfer RNA (tRNA) molecules are approximately 80 nucleotides in length. Their secondary structure includes four short double-helical elements and three loops (D, anti-codon, and T loops). Further hydrogen bonds mediate the characteristic L-shaped molecular structure. tRNAs have two regions of fundamental functional importance: the anti-codon, which is responsible for specific mRNA codon recognition, and the 3' end, to which the tRNAs corresponding amino acid is attached (by aminoacyl-tRNA synthetases). tRNAs cope with the degeneracy of the genetic code in two manners: having more than one tRNA (with a specific anti-codon) for a particular amino acid; and 'wobble' base-pairing, i.e. permitting non-standard base-pairing at the 3rd anti-codon position.
Source: Rfam by way of RNAcentral
GUAAUGGUGGUUCAGUAGUAGAAUUCUCACCUUCUGUGUGGGAGACCCGGGUUCGAUUUCUGGCCAGUGCA